ACAGUCACACAUUAGAUACCCGGGUAGUUCUAGCCGUAAACGAUGCUCACUAGGUGUAGGGAGUGAUAAACUCUCUGUGCCGGAGAGAAGUUGUUAAGUCUGCUACUUGGGGAGUACGUCCGCAAGGAUGAAACUUAAAGGAAUUGGCGGGGGAGCACCGCAACGGGAGGAGCGUGCGGUUUAAUUGGAUUCAACACCGUAAAACUCACCAGGGAAGACUGUUACAUGAAGGCCGAGAUGAAGACUCUGCUAGAUUUUCAG
RNAcentral lists this ribosomal RNA (261 nucleotides) under uncultured archaeon. RNAcentral describes it as "partial 16S ribosomal RNA". It matches the Rfam family "Archaeal small subunit ribosomal RNA", at positions 715 to 982 of the family's 1478-position model. The record is from RNAcentral.